Bombyx mori (domestic silkworm) is the source of this 300-nucleotide long non-coding RNA. RefSeq lists it as uncharacterized. The record is from RefSeq and is a predicted model, not a curated record. Lineage: Eukaryota; Metazoa; Arthropoda; Insecta; Lepidoptera; Bombycidae. The transcript is spliced from 2 exons.
UCGAUAACAGACAGACAAACUACAGCUUAAUAUUAUUAUGGUUAAUUUUUAGUCUAGUAGACGUUUGAUGUAUUGACGGCUGACGCUUUGUUCAUUUGACUGUGAUUUGACUUUAUAUAGAUUCAGGCAUAGUCAAGUUUAUCGUAUAAAAACUGAAAUAGAAGGAAAUAAUUGACUAUGGAAUGAAAUGAAAUAUGUAUUAUUUAUAUGUGCCGAAACUGAAAUUGAAAAACAUCUCAUUAUGAUGGUCAGAAUAAAAAAAUUCUGUUCAAUGAAUGAAACCCGAAAGGGCAGGUCUAA